RNA transcript from Bactrocera neohumeralis, 6472 nucleotides. It is a transcript of the gene named signal transducer and transcription activator-like, with no coding region annotated. The transcript is spliced from 13 exons. The record is from RefSeq and is a predicted model, not a curated record. NCBI's taxonomy places the organism in Eukaryota, Metazoa, Arthropoda, Insecta, Diptera, Tephritidae.
ACUAGUGUAAAAGAUAUCGAUUGCGUUUGCAAGUAUUUUCGUUGGCUCGAAAAUUAAUUUAUUAAAUUAUAUUCAAGUGCAUUAUACUUUCAACAGAGUCUAGCAAACAUAUUAUAAACCGGUAGUGAGUGUUAUUUGGAAGGGUUUUAAUGUGGUGCAUAAGUCUGAAAUUGCAUUCCUUGAAAGCUGAUCAACGUGUUGCGCUUUUCCUUUGUGUGUUAAACAAAAAAUCCUUGAAAAAGCAUUUGCCGUAGGCAAGGGCACGUAGAAUCAUAAGCGCACCCCAAUCAUACAUGAAGGAAUUGUAAGAUAAGAAGCCACUGAUAAAACAACCCACAAAACGAGUUGCAGUGAAAAGUGUAGUUUUUCAUUCUAAAAAACAAAACGCAAGCACUAAAAUUGGACUACAAAAAAAAGAAACAAUAAACCAAAUUAUAAAUUCAAAACGAAACGUUUCAUCCACUCAUCAACACUUUGGGGCACGUCAAAUUUAAUUUUCUAACAUUUUCGGAUUGUGAAGUGCGUCCAUUGGAUUGGGUUUGGUUAAUCAUACAUUGCCGUGCAGGGACAUCGCACAUCACUCCCACUACAAUCACCACUACCAUCACCACCACAACCACUGCUAUUACUACUACUCCAACCACAGCCAAUAGUGCCCAUAUAGGUGAUUUAAUCACCAUACAUAUAUACGUAAUUAGGUUGCAGGACAUCAUCGUCAUCUCAGCGCUUUGUUUUGCAUAUUUGUGGUAGCGCAUGUUGUAAAUUGACCGAAACAAAUAAGCAGCCAUAAGUAAGCUUCAAUAAAAAUUGCUUACACAAACCUAACCUGCAAAGAAAAAAAGAUUAAUAUUUAAAUUUGCAAAUUGGGAGUCGCUUAUAUCGAUCAUAAACAAGCAAAUUGCUAAUUACACACACACGCACACACAGUGCUGCUCACCACAAUGAGUUUGUGGAAGAGUAUCGUACGCUCUCCGGAGCUUGAAAAGCGCAUGUCUCAGUACUACGAUGUCAAGGGCCUCGCCGAGAUACGCGUGCAAUUUGCAUCGUGGAUUGAAGAGUUCAUAAUGUCCCAUCACCAAUUGCCAACUAACCAGAAAAUCUUCGAACAAUUAGUCAACGCAUUCUACGACGGACUGAAACAGAAACUCAUUACAUUGGAUGGUGAUAAUUUGUUAAAGUUUAAAAUUCGUGAAAUUUGCGCGCAUCUCGCACGAACAACACCCCUUGAACUAUACACGUACUUUCGUAACGGUUUACUUCGUGAAAUUCAGGCGUUGAAGGAAGGAAUGCCACAAAAUCCCUACAUGUAUAAUACAGCACUUGUUGGUGGCCAUGUGAAUGGAAUCGGCGGCAUGAAUGCAGGUAAUCCCUAUUUGAGCGGUGUCGGCGUCGGCGUUGGCGUUGGCGUUAGCCACAUCGACGAUGUGAAUAUGGCCGAAGAUGCGUACGCAUUGCCGGCGCGCAUACAGAAAUUAGCCGUCGAUGUUGAGAAUAUGCGUUUGGCCAUACAUAAUUUCCAAGGUGAACAGGAUUCGGUAUACAAUUAUUUUAGUGAUUUCAACCAAACACGUGCAAUGAUGUCGGCACAAGAUAUACAGGAACGUGAAAAUCAAUUUAAGGAACAGUAUCUCAUUUUGUCCGAACGCAAGAAGGUUGUUGUCACCGAUUUGCGACGCGUUAUCAACGAAUACGAUAUGAUACAAGAGCAAGUGAUAAUGGCUUUGAAAAUGUGGCAACGCAAUCAGGCUUUGGCUGGCAAUGGUGCGCCAUUCCACGACAAUUUAGAUGAGAUACAACGUUGUAUAGAGAUGUUGGUGGAUAUGAUUACUAAAAUUCAAUUAUACGUUACUAAUCUGCUCGCGAUGGGCGAAGAUCCGAUUCUGACAGAUUUGCUAAAUCAUGUUCGUUCUACACAAAAAAUUCUGGUGUUGUCGGCUUUUAUAGUGGAACGCCAGCCGCCACAAGUGAUGAAAACACAUACGAGAUUUGCCGCCGCUGUACGAUGGUUGAUUGGCCCACAGCUGGAGAUAUACAGAACUAAUCCAACUAUAGAAUGCGUUAUACUCUCAGAGGCCCAAGCUCAACGGCACGCCGCUCAUAACAGCAUUACGGACAUGCAAACCGCCGCUCCGCCGCAAUCUUCUGGUGAAAUUUUAAACAACGUCAGCUCUAUGGAAUUCCAACAGGCCACCCGAGUAUUCUCAGCCAGUUUUAGAAAUAUGCAAUUGAAAAAAAUUAAGCGGGCCGAAAAAAAAGGCACCGAGAGUGUUAUGGACGAGAAGUUCUCUUUACUCUUCUACACAACUGUCGUUUUCAACGAAUUCAAGAUAAGUUGCUGGACACUUUCUUUGCCAGUUGUUGUGAUUGUGCACGGCAAUCAGGAGCCACAGUCCUGGGCCACAAUCACUUGGGAUAAUGCAUUUUCCGAUAUUACGCGUGAACCCUUCCAAGUGCCAGAGAAAGUACGCUGGCAGCAAUUAUCUGUGGCUUUGGAUACGAAGUUUGGUUCGGCGACAGGAAGAAAUUUAACCGAAGAUAACUUGAACUUUCUAUAUGAGAAACUUUUCCGCAACGAAGCUGGCGAGCAUAAUGAGUUCAUAACUUGGGCUCAGUUCUGCAAAGAACCUCUACCAGAUCGAGCAUUUACCUUCUGGGACUGGUUCUUUGCAAUAAUGAAAUUGACCAAAGAUCAUUUAUUGAAUCUGUGGAAAGAGGGUCUUAUUGUUGGUUUCAUAAACAAGCGCAAGACUUUGGAAGAAAUUUUACCUAUGCAACAAUAUGGCACAUUUUUACUGCGCUUCUCCGACAGUGAAUUGGGUGGUAUAACUGUGGCUUUUGUCGACGAUCAGGGUAAUAAACUUAUGCUGGCACCUUGGACGUCACGUGAUUUAAAUAUACGUUGUUUGGCGGACCGCAUACACGAUUUGAACGUUUUGCGUACUGUCUUUCCAAAGAAUCUGGCACGUGAUGAGGCGUUUGGAAACUUCUACUCACACCACGUCGCAGAACAAACAACACGUGAUGGCUAUGUUCCGAAUACAAUAAGGGCACACGUGCCGGCCAUAGAGGGCGGUUCCGUGGUGGGCACUCCUCAGCAUCAACCGCAAGAUAUAUCAAUACCGAAUUAUAUCGAAGAUCUUGGCAUCGAUUGGAAUUGCAUCUGAAAUGGGUGGGCUGUAUGUAAUUGGUAUAAUGAAUGGUCAAAUAUUUAGUGGAGUGUGUGCAACAUGUCAUGCAACAGUUGCUCAAGACUUUUAAGCAGUUUUAGUGAUUUUGAUUCAAUAAUUUAUGAUGGAUGCGGAUAGAUACACACACACGCAGUGAUAUACAUAUAUACACACGUUAACAAAUUGAUUGAAAGGAAAAAGGAAAAAAAAAUUAAUAACAAUAAAAAACAACAACAACAUAAUUUAUACGAUAAAAUACAUUUUAACUAUUUGCCAUCAUAUAAAGCGUAUAAUUGCUUAGAAACUGCCGCUUUUCUAUGAACUUUAUGACUUUUACAAACAACAAAAACACGGAUUUGCAUAUAUUCACAUAAAACGGAAGUGAGAGUCAGAGUUCCUCAGUAAAGUAGGCCAGUGUAUUAGUUGUUAGCAAUCAUUAACCGUACACACAUCUGUCCACACAAUUAACUACCGUUAUUAAAUUGUCGAGCAAUAUUUUCAAAACUACGGGGCUGUGUAUAUUUAAAAAUUGCUGUCUCUGAGCGACUUGUAAGCCAUCGUUAAACACACAAAAGCAGUAAAGCAAAAUGCCACUAAUGGUUUGAAGGAAGCAUGUUCAAAACGAGAGAAAACAAAAACACAAAGAGAACGCGUUAUUGAAAUAUUCUACGAAGGGAUACUUUGCUGUUUUAUCAGUUUGUGAGUGUAUGUGUACACUUUCAUGUCGCUAGUCGAUGCUGAAUAUGAUAUGAUAUUUACAUUAACCGUUAUGCAUGCUGUACCGCCUUGAAAUUUUAUAUUUAGUCUAUAUCUUCUCUCCAAAAACAUACAAAAAAAAUAUUUUUUUUAAAUUUUUUUAAUGUACACUAAAUUUCUUACACUCUUCGAAACACUUGUAACUACCGUUAGUGGUAAAUAACUUAUAGUAAGUGUAAUAGUUUUAUACUCGCCGUUGCCUUAUAUAAUUAUAUUAAAUUUUCAUUUUUUUGUGUUCUGUAAAUCUAUUUUUAAUAGUCAAAUGAACUUUUCAAUGUUGCGGAUGCUUGAAUACUUGAAUUCUCUUUAUCACUGGUACUUGUUGUUUUGUGGUUAACUGAAUGUAAUUGCAAAAAAAAAAAAAUUUAAAUAAAUAAUUAUAAAUAUAUGCAUGCCAAUUGGUGAAAAUAUAAAGAGUCCACAGCAUAAAAUUAAAUGUUGAAUUGAAUCAGUGAGGAUAUUUUUUUAUGAAAGUAAAAAAUACAAACGAAACAUUAUAGAAAAUGAGAAAGUAAAGAAAAUCACUAACUGGUUACUAACCGGUCGCUAUGUUGAAUGUUUGACGAUAAGUGUGUAUACUACUUAGUCGUAAGUGUAACUAAUUUAAGUAACUUUAAGUUAUUGAUUUAUACGCGUUUUUACAGCAGCAUAAACCUAACUGUGCUCUACUUGCGAGUCCAAAAACGAUACACGACUUGUCGCAAACUGUAUAUUGCUACGUUAGUUGCGAGUCGCCAAAUUAUUUUACUUUGUGUAUGUAUAUGUCUAUAUUAUUUUUUAGUUGCGUAUUAAACGAUUUUAUUCUGUAUUUUUAUUUUUGUAUUAAAAAAAAUUAGUUUAAAUUAAUUCGGCCCAAAGUAUUUCUUCAAAAUUUCACAUUUCUUUUAAAGAGUAGUAUUUGAAUUUUUUUCUCAUUUUUAUAUUGCUAUUAUUUAUAUAUUUAAUAUACUUUUUAGUUUUUUUUUCAACUUUUUGUAUGGUUCCAUUGUAGUCGUCAUACUGUGACGUGGCCGCAUGUGCCGUUACUUGAACUUUUUACUGGAAAUUUUUCAAAAUUUUCUUUGACACUUCACGCAUAUAUAGCAAAGUAGUACUUAUCUUAUUUAUAAGCAAAUAAUUCGUCGCUAAUUUUUUAUGUUCUCAAUAAACAAAAAAAAAAAAGAAGGAGAGGAAUAAAUCCUACAUUUGUAUGUGCAUUAAUUGCUUUAAAUUUAAUUGUUGAAUACAAUAAUUUGUGAUUCUUAUUUUACAAAAUUUAUGAUACAUAAUUAUAAUUGGCUUCCAUUUCAUGUCUCUACCAAUUAGCUUCUUAAGUUAAUUUCAUGUUAAGUUUUCAUUUUUGUAAAGUACUAAGCUAAAUGUGAGCGUUAUGCAGGAGAAGUUUUAUUAAUAAGCAUUUUGAGAAAAUAAUAAUAAUAUUUGAAAAUAUUUGCAUUAAAUGUGGUGAAUUUUGAAACGAUUUUCGUGAACAAAAACGUGUUUAUUACUAAGAUUAGAGAGUAAAGUUUUAAAAAGGAUAUACGUAAAUAUACAUUUAUUAAGUACAGUUAGCGAUAUCAAUAUGCGCAAUUGCAUUUUGGCAGAAAAAGUAAGAAAAAUGUAUUCAAUUUGAGGUUAUGUUUUAAAAAAAAGUUGAAUUUGAGGUUUUGUUCAAAAAACAAAAAAACAUAUUAAUGUUACAACCAAAAAAACAACAAAAUUUUUUGAGGUUAUAUCCAAAAAAAUUAGUUUGAGGUUAUACCCAAAAAAAUUAAUUUGAUCUUAUGACUAAAAAAGUUGAAUUUGAGGUUAUGACUCAAAGAUAAAAUUUGAACUUACGACCAAUAAAAAAUAAUUUGGUGUUAUACCCAAAAAAAUUAAUUUGAGGUUAUGACUAAUUAAUUUCAAGAAUGUCAUUGCCUGUUUUUGCAGAAUAUUUAAUGUCCUCACAACAACAAUAAGUGAAUAACAGCUGUCACUCACUCUAAUUUGAAUUGUUUUACACAAAACUCUCUUUCACCCGCAAACGUGUUGAUGGCAUUAAGAAAAUUCUAUGAAAAACCGAGUGAACGAGUUCAGUUAUGCUAUUUAAGAACCUUUGUCUUUUAUAAUAAAGAAAUAAUGCAAUUAUCCACAACUUGAAUACACACACGUCCAUUUAGAGCGCAUAUUAAUAUCGCCAACUGUAUAUUUACAGAGAGCAAACACUAUUUAUCGCAUACAAAGUCAAGUCUUUGUAUUUGUAUGUACGUUUAUGCAUAGAAAUACACAUUUUACAAAAAUAAAUAUUACUACUAUACACACAUAUUUAACUAAAUAAUAAUAAAGAAUACAUUGAAUAAAUAAAUAAAUAAAAAAGUAAGUGCAAAAAGCAGCGAGUGUUGUAAUUGAAAAUUUAUUUACAUGUAAACUGAUAUCUAGUUCUUAAGCACCAAAAAGAUUGAGUAAAUGUAUGUAAACUAAAUAUAUCGAAUGUUGACAUGUCUGUGGCUUUUUAUUAAUUAUUAUACACACACACACAACACAACUUUUCAACUUGAAAAACUGAAUUAAUGCAGGAUUUUAGAAAA